AACAAGAAUUGGUGAUCGAUUACAUAUGCUCAAGGCCCAGGUGGAGAGACUAGCUGUCCAGGAAGCACUAAAAUUUCAACACUGCCAUGAUUAUGUUGCUGAACAAGCUGCUGGGAUUGUGCAGCAUGUUGACUGGGAAGCUCUAGGCAUGGACAAUUACAUGAGCUUUGGGGAGGAUCAUGCCUCUCCUCCAAGUCAAGAACCUAGUACUGAACAGCCAUUAGUUGAGAAGCAGAUGGAAGAAAAUAGUCAGGAUAGAUACUUCCGGUUGGGCUUUUCCAGGGAUAGUGGAAUUGUAUCGAGGAUCAGAGAUUACAUGGGUUCAACUGAAUUGAUGCUAUUCUCUGCUAGAUGUUUAGUUGCUAAUAGUAGGGUAAAAGAAAAUUUUGAGAAUGAUAGCUCCAUUGGAGGCUUGGAACAACUGUUGGAUGCCCUUGUAUGAGAGUCAGAUUUUUACUUCAAUUGUAGAGUUUUACUGGUUUAUAUUUAAUGCCACUAUAACUCG
RNAcentral lists this unclassified non-coding RNA (505 nucleotides) under Hevea brasiliensis (rubber tree). The record is from RNAcentral. Lineage: Eukaryota; Viridiplantae; Streptophyta; Magnoliopsida; Malpighiales; Euphorbiaceae.